This 83-nucleotide non-coding RNA is filed under the name Clostridiaceae bacterium. Its description in RNAcentral is "c-di-GMP sequence". It matches the Rfam family "c-di-GMP-I riboswitch aptamer". Rfam says of the family: GEMM was predicted in a large-scale screen for bacterial structured RNA regulatory elements. The record is from RNAcentral. Lineage: Bacteria; Bacillati; Bacillota; Clostridia; Eubacteriales; Clostridiaceae.
AGCAGAUAAAGGCAAACCAUCUGAAAGGGUGGGACGCAAAGCUAUGGGUCUAAAGCGAAAGCUAUGAUUGCCAGGUUGCCAAG